AGACGCGUUGUUCCUCUCCGAAAUUGGUGCCGAAUAACCCACGAUUCGGCGCUUCCGGCUCUGUUAUUUGGCGAUUCGCCUCAGCUAUUCAUUCCGCUGCCGCAUGAUUCUUCUCCUUUUCCCCGUCGCUGCCCUCGGCUCUUCUUGUCCUUGAUUGAGCCGUAGUGAUUGCGGUUAAAGGUUCCGGGUCAUAAAGAAUCGAUGGAGGAGACCGCAAAGAUGGAGAGACAUCUACCGAUUCUUAUACCUUUGACGCAA
Musa acuminata subsp. malaccensis (wild Malaysian banana) is the source of this 258-nucleotide non-coding RNA. The record is from RefSeq and is a predicted model, not a curated record. NCBI's taxonomy places the organism in Eukaryota, Viridiplantae, Streptophyta, Magnoliopsida, Zingiberales, Musaceae.